RNAcentral lists this long non-coding RNA (1002 nucleotides) under Aquila chrysaetos chrysaetos. RNAcentral describes it as "lncRNA (ENSACCG00020012893.1)". The record is from RNAcentral. Lineage: Eukaryota; Metazoa; Chordata; Aves; Accipitriformes; Accipitridae.
UAACAACCACCCGGCACACACGCACCUCACCGGCCCGGCGCCUGGCGCUGCGGGCUGGUCUAAAUGGCGGCGGCCUCCAUCCGGGGCCGCUCCCGCCCCGGCCGCGCCCCCCGCCGCCCCGCCCUCCCCCGCCGCAGCGGACGUGGCUCCGCCGGGGAGGAGGCCAGGGCGGUCACGUGAGCGCAACACGCCCCUCCCCCUCCGCGCGCAUGCGCCGCCACUUCCCUUCCCAGGUCGGGGGAGGGAGCCGCCUACUUCGCCAGGCGGGGCGCGUGCGUGCACGGCGGCUUCCCGCCUUCCUUCUUCCCGCCGCGGGGGCGGGCGCCCUGCCUGAGAAGGAUGAUCUGUGUCCUAGUGAGUGUAACAGUGGAGGAAAACUAACUGUGUGAACAGAUGGAGAACCAAAAUUUAGCACACCUUCCUUAGAGUUAACUGAAGGGUAACUGGUGUGUUGAUCAAGAUCAGCUAUAACAAAUGGCAAAGAGAAUUACGAGGAAGAUCCUGAGCACGUAAGCUACUGAUAGAUGCACCAGGAGUGUUAUCAAACAUUAUGAAACAAUGAUACAAGGAUCAUCAGCUGGAGGAGAUGCUGACUUUUCAGAGGCUGAGAUCUUUCAGAGUCACUGGGACUGCUGGCAGAACCUGUUCCUGUCACCACCUCACCCAGCUUACUCUGAUCGUGGGCAAGGAAGGGGGACUCACAGCUUGGAAGAAGGUAGAAGAACUCAGCUGCUAGGGAAGUACUUCACUCUUCAUUAUACUGGCCGAGUAAAAGGGGAAUGUAUCAGCAGCACCUUACUUCUAAAGCUACACGUAAGUGAACUGAAUGCUGACCUUAUAUUUCUUCUCUGUAUGAUCACUGCUCAGGACAUAGAUGCUGUUUUCUAUUUGCAGAUAGCUUUUUAUGUGAAUCAUCUGACUUGUUGACUGAAUCAAGGAACUUGUAACAGUUCCUUGACCACAUGCUUUCUCUUUCCCCCUCCUAUGUCUCUCCAUGCUCUG